AGCCCCGGGCUCGGGCCCCGCGGAGCUGCGCCUCCAACCCGGAAGAACAGCCCCAACCCGGCGGCGGCGGAGGCCACGUGACGGCGGCGCAGCCCCCAACCCCCCCCCCCAAGCCCCCUCCUCCGCCCGGAGCCCCCUCCCCACCAGGCCCUUAUGCCCUCCGGGCCCCCAGAGCCUACCGCCCUCCCUCCGGACAAGAAAGCGACCGCACCAAACGCCCCCUUAGCGCGCCAAGGCUAGUUACCCCAAAGGGCCCUCCACUCCUGGGUGGCAACCAAAACCUCUUUGUCUUGGGCUCGACCCGAGGCCCCCUGCCCCGCCUCCGCGCCUUCCCUCGGCGCGUCCUUGUCAAUCAAACCUGGAGCCCAACGCGGCCGCUGAAGUUUUCAAGGCUACAUUUGCUCUCUCCCCUGGAGAGCCAGUUACAAUCCCAAGUGUGAUUUCCUCUCUAGUGUCCCACCAGAGCAAGUAAGAGGGUA
This 479-nucleotide long non-coding RNA is filed under the name Lynx pardinus (Iberian lynx). The record is from RNAcentral. Lineage: Eukaryota; Metazoa; Chordata; Mammalia; Carnivora; Felidae.